Molecule: ribosomal RNA, 253 nt
Filed under: uncultured bacterium
Lineage: Bacteria
Description: partial 16S ribosomal RNA
Rfam family: Bacterial small subunit ribosomal RNA
Source: RNAcentral
UACGGAAGGGGCAAGCGUUGUUCGGAAUCAUUGGGCGUAAAGGGCGCGUAGGUGGUUCUGUAUGUCUACCGUGAAAGCGUACGGCUCAACCGUAUUUUGUCGGUAGAAACUGCAGGACUUGAGGCUGGGGGGGGCUGGUGGAAUUCCCUGUGUAGCGGUGAAAUGCGUAGAGAUGGGGGAGAACACUCGUGGCGAAGGCGGCCAGCUAGACCAGUUCUGACACUGAGGCGCGACAGCGUGGGGAGCAAACAGG